This 254-nucleotide ribosomal RNA is filed under the name uncultured bacterium. RNAcentral describes it as "partial 16S ribosomal RNA". It matches the Rfam family "Bacterial small subunit ribosomal RNA", at positions 524 to 776 of the family's 1533-position model. The record is from RNAcentral.
UACGUAGGCAGCAAGCGUUGUUCGGAGUUACUGGGCGUAAAGGGUGUGUAGGCGGCUUCGUAAGUUCGGUGUGAAAUCUCCUGGCUUAACUGGGAGGGUGCGCCGAAAACUGGCGGAGCUGGAGCGCAGGAGAGGAAAGCAGAAUUCCUGGUGUAGCGGUGAAAUGCGUAGAUAUCAGGAGGAAUACCGGUGGUGAAGGCGGCUUUCUGGACUGCUGCUGACGCUGAUACACGAAAGCGUGGGGAGCAAACAGG